CCUAUAGUACACUCUGUGCACAGUUGUAACUCCCACAAAGACCAGACUCAUCUUGGUAUUAUUAUAAAUUCAUCCUUUGUAAGCCAAACAUCCCAACUUGGAAGAUGGGCGCUCACCAGUUAAAGUUAGCUGCUAACGCUAACUGUUAGCCAGAGCGGAUGCAGAUGCUAGCAGGCUAACGUUAGCUAGCAUCUAAAUCGCGGUCAAUCUCUCGUUGCUUUCAUCCUUAAAAUAUCUGCUUUCACCAACCUCACGGGGGAUUGUUGUAGUUGCCUAUUUCAUCACUUGCUGCUUUUGUUUUUUUACAUAGUUUUUCCACUCAUUUGGGUUUGGUUAGCCGCUGGCGCAAUGUGAAAUUAUUUUUAAAUGAUUGGAAUCAGUGAAACUGAAACACCGGCGGCUCUCGGCUCAUUCGAGUGAUAACGGUGCCAACGUGCGGCGGGAGGCGCGUAUGGACCAUAAACCUUACACAAUGCUUUUUAAACCUGUGGCAUGUUGGGUCAGACGGAGAUCAAAGGAUUGUACCAUACGCAUGAAAAGACUUUAACACUCACUGGCUUGCAUGAGCUGGCCCUGCCGCCCGAACACCUGGGAGAAAGGGCUGCGGUUGCAGGUGAGCAUCUCCUCCAUGGCUGAACUCCUCUCGGAGGGGAAAGGUCCUUCCGUCUUCAGAAAGAGAAAGUGCACUGUGGGUCAGCCUCCGAGUGUGGAGAAGGUCGGCUGUUGCUCUGAAGCAAUCCUCUCCUCUCACUCUCUUGCCUUUUGAAGCCACCUCACGACCUCUUCUGCACGCGUUCCCUACCGCCUCCCCGCUGACUGCAGAUCGGUGCUGCGUCUCGCUGCCUCGGAUGCCGUCAGAGAUGCUUCUGCUCCUGAGCUGAUGGGAGAUCUGUGUUGGGGUGCUCUCAGCCUGCUCAUUAGUGCUUCAGUGUGGCGCCGCUUCAGACAGAGAGCGCAGCAAACACAGCGUGAACAAAGCAAGAGAGAGAGAGAGGGAGGGAGAGGGAGCGAUGAGAAGGAGAAGCCUGCUGCAGAGAGAAGACAGACUCUCUCCCCUGACGAAAGUGAGGAUAGAGAUGACUGUGUGUAAGUGUGUGUAUAGCCAGUUCUAACACUAGCUGCUGCUGCUACUUUCUGGCUGUGGUUUCCUCUUUCUCUCUUAUCCCCCUUCUUUUUAAUCCUAUCUGACUCCUCCGCCGUGAGUUGAUGGGCAUAUACUAUGUUGGGAAAGAUGCACAACAGAUAAGCAUGACAUCUGAUUUUGGCAGAAAACUAAUUUGUCAAGUUUUUUAGACUGCUGUCCAAUAUGUGCUGCAAGCAAAUACCAGCGUACUCUCAUUGUGUUCAUUCAGUCGCAUCCAUAUUAGAUUGGAGCUUGGAAAACACAGAGAGGACUUGCAAUUCCUUAAAAAAAAAAAGGAGCUAAACAUGCACGUAAACUGAAAACGAACUGACAACCA
Cottoperca gobio is the source of this 1460-nucleotide long non-coding RNA. RefSeq lists it as uncharacterized. NCBI's taxonomy places the organism in Eukaryota, Metazoa, Chordata, Actinopteri, Perciformes, Bovichtidae. The record is from RefSeq and is a predicted model, not a curated record. The transcript has 3 exons.